CAAUAGUGUGGAGUGGACACGGUGUCUUGGCAGGACAAAGCUUGUACUUGGAGUCAUUCCUCUAGCUUGUCUGGGGAGCUGGAGCAAGGUGAUAUGUGAGCAGCAAGUGAUGGCUGUGGUAAUUGUCAAAGAGGUAAUUAAAGCUACAACACAGCCUAGGUUCUGGUUAAGCUCACAGUGGCAGUGGUGUUUGGUGAAAGGCCAGUGAAAGAGCAUUGCCAUCCUGGCUGUGCCUAACAGCACUGAAAGUACUGGAGUCUUCAAUAAGGUCCUGAAGUGCUCUACCUCCAGUACAGCUCCUUCUAUCUGCAUUCCAUCAGAGGGUUGUUGAAAGCAGAUUCCCAUUUACAUCCUGAGCGUGGGCUCAGAGGCAUAUCACCCCCAGACUGUCACCUGCUGUCUGCUGCUGGCCUUGGCAGUGGGGCACAGCCCCUGGCCCUGUCUGCAGUGGACCUUGGGGACCAUGGGAAGCUGCUGGCUUUGCAUCCAGAGCCCCCAUCGAAAUCCUCUCAAUCUGAGACUGUUACUUUGUGCUACGCUGGAGCCUGCAACCCUGUCCUGCAUCCUGCUGCUGAGGGGCUGUAUGUGUACUUGUAGACCUGCACAGGGAUGAAGUCAGAUGUGAUGGCAAUCACCAAUCCAUUCCCGAUGACAGCCAGGAUGCCAAUGGCUUCCAGGACCUGCAGCCAAAUUCCUGCAGGAGAGGAGAAGUCAAGAGCACAUCCCAGCAAAGGAAUGCUCAAGACUCCUUCAGACUGGAAGGGACUUAACACCAGCACUGUUUGCACAAGCAGCAGUUCUCAUGGGCCCCA
Molecule: long non-coding RNA, 812 nt
Organism: Lagopus muta (rock ptarmigan)
Lineage: Eukaryota; Metazoa; Chordata; Aves; Galliformes; Phasianidae
Exons: 5
Source: RefSeq, a predicted model, not a curated record